UCUAAAAGAAUAGAAGACACACGAGAGAGCAAAUUUCAGCUGGGAGAUAAACUGGAUAAGGGAUUUUAUGAACAAGAGCAAAUAUCAGUAGCCAACGUGAAUCUAAGGGUGCUUUCACCGCUUUUGAUGAUAUGUCAAGCUCCGUUUCUUCUUAAUUAAUACCGUCGCCGCUUAUACGGAUAGCCAAAUCAAGUUCAGGUAUCAAGAAAUAUUACGGGAACAAACACAAACUCAAUCUGAUAUUGAUCAAUGUAAAACAUAUUACGAAGCUACGGGAAGGGAAAAGAAGAGAAGAGUAUAUGGUCUUGGAUCUCAAGCAAAAUGCUACUAUGGGCCGAAUCUUCGUGGCUCUUCUGGAUCAGAUGCUUCAUCAUCAAUACCACCUUCAAGUGCUCAAUCAGCAUCAAUAGAGAACCUGGAUGAGUUAGGGAUGCGUUUGAUUCCUGCACUAACAGAGCACAUAGUUCCCGUGUUAACUGAUCACAUGCUUCCAGUGUUGACUGAGCGGGUGCGUGAAAUGAUUUUGUCACCCUCACAUCAGCCUACUUCUACUGACCACCCAUCAGAUGUGGUACCAAUAGUUCAUUCUCCUACUAUUGCUAUUGUUCAUGGGGUUCAUCCAUCGGUUUCAGAUGAUGACCUUAACCCCUAAGCCUCGUAUUUGGAAGCUUUUUGGUUUGAACUUUAUUAUUGGUGUUAGGGAUAAUUCGAACUUAAUUGUAUUAGCUAUAUGCAUUUUGAUAUCAUUUUGGACCUUGAAGUAUGUUAA
Long non-coding RNA from Nicotiana tabacum (common tobacco), 769 nucleotides. RefSeq lists it as uncharacterized. The record is from RefSeq and is a predicted model, not a curated record. Lineage: Eukaryota; Viridiplantae; Streptophyta; Magnoliopsida; Solanales; Solanaceae.